UCAGAAGGAAGCUCACCACUGAGGUCACUUGCUGAGUGCUGGUCACUCCCUUCUCUCUGCCUCUGGGAAGGUCUGAGACAAGAGCCAGUAGCUGCCCUUGCAAGGCACCCCCUGAUGCAGGGGGAUGAGGUACCAGGGAGGCUGGGCCCUAUCAAGGGAGAGGCACAAGAAGUCUGAGAGGAGGUUAUUCUCCCUUGACUGAUGCCCAUGCCCUGUGCAGGGUCUUGAGACAGGCUCAUGGCUGGCACCUUUGAGUCCAAUGGGAUGAGGUGAGGCUUGCUCCCCACAUGCAGGACUCACAACCCAAUUCAGACUACUCUCCCUCUGA
RNAcentral lists this RNase P RNA (328 nucleotides) under Crocodylus porosus (Australian saltwater crocodile). Its description in RNAcentral is "Nuclear RNase P (ENSCPRG00005006086.1)". It matches the Rfam family "Nuclear RNase P". From Rfam's summary of the family: Ribonuclease P (RNase P) is a ubiquitous endoribonuclease, found in archaea, bacteria and eukarya as well as chloroplasts and mitochondria. Its best characterised activity is the generation of mature 5'-ends of tRNAs by cleaving the 5'-leader elements of precursor-tRNAs. Cellular RNase Ps are ribonucleoproteins. Lineage: Eukaryota; Metazoa; Chordata; Crocodylia; Crocodylidae. The record is from Rfam by way of RNAcentral.